Molecule: long non-coding RNA, 4584 nt
Filed under: Marmota monax (woodchuck)
Lineage: Eukaryota; Metazoa; Chordata; Mammalia; Rodentia; Sciuridae
Source: RNAcentral
AGUUUCCAUCAGUCUGUGGUUGGCUGCGGCAUUCACAGCAGCUGAAUCAGCCCUGCUGGGGGAAAGCCAGUGGUCCCGUCCGCUUCUCAGGGUGCCUCGCACUCCCUGGUGCGUGUUCCCCAUCUCUGCCCAGCCAGAUUCCUGGGAGCGUCUGCAGAUGGCUGUUCUGCACCAGCCGGCCGUGCCAGAAUGUCCUGGCGUACAGCUGGGUGGCCUCUUUGCCUGCAGAAGCUCAUGUGCAACCCUGACAUCUGAGGAACGAGCAGUUUCUGCUUUAUCAGGAGGAAUCUUCCUCUCGCUCUAUCACCCUCCUGUUCCGGACGCCGCUGUCAAUCUUCCCGGCUGGGCGCCGCAGGAGCGGAUGCCUCUCUGCGUCAGGCAUCCAGGGCUCUUCCUCUGCAAAACAGGAGGGGCCUGGGUUUCCCGAACCACGAACAGAUGUCGACGUGAAGGAGGCUCCCCACCUGCCAAGCCAACGGCCGGCUUCCUUUCUCAUCCUUCAGGGCUCUGAGUAACAAGACCUUUAGAAAAGCGUGGCAUGCGCGCUGCGGUUACCACUUUCUCCCAAGACCAGCUCCAUGAACUCCGGAGCGUGAGAAAUCAGCCGGCGGUGGCGUGUUCUAAGAUGAGAGGCAGAGGUGACAGGGAACCAACGUGCACAUCGCUCUGGAGGCCUGGCUUCCUGCAACCCGCUCAGAAGGACAGUGAGGACGGGUUGGGCGCCUGUCUUGAUGGAGAAACUCUUAGAAAUUCCUCUUGCCUUUCACAGCCUGACACCUGUUCAGGUGAGGCUCGAGAUGGCAGAGCUUCAGUACGUUUUUUUUGUUGUUGUUGUUCAUAAUAUUUUUACUUCUAAUACAUAUGUCUGGCUUCAAAUCAGAUACCUUCAGCCCUCCUAGAACCAUUGCAACCUAGGAGCUUCCUGGCCCAAUCAUGCUGUGCGGAGUCAUCCGCCCUCUGAUUUUAGUUGUUCUGCAGAAAUUAGCAGUAAUCACUCUAAAUAAUAAUUGUAGAUAUAAUCUGCUGACUUCUUGUUAUGGAAAUGAAGGGUUAGCUUUCUCUUCCUGUCUCCAGGCCCACUUGUCCCUCACUUUCGAGGAGAGUUCUUGUAUUUCUUCCUAUCUUAGCUGCAAAUGUUGAUGAAAUUUACCAUUAUUUUAUUAGGUGCCACAAUAGAAGAAGAAUGCUUCCAAUUACACCAUGAUAUGAUACUUUUUUAUCAUAACAACGUUAAGAUGUGUUCUGAUUUUCAAGACCUUACAACGGGGAAAACAUGGUUUUAAAAAUAUUUAUUAUGAGUCAGGACAUCAUAUCUAAGGAAAUCACUGGGUUAGUAUUUGCAAGUAUUAACAUUGUUUUGACCGUGUAAAUAUUGUUGACAGUGAACUGUGAUUACAUUUCUCUGUACAUCUUUUGCUCUCUGGAGUUAAUAAUUGCUUUAUCUUCUUAUUUUAUGUAUAUAUAUACUUUAUACAUAUAUAUGUAUAUAUAUAUAUAUAAAAUAGUUCAUCCCUGAGCUUCCCUUUGUGUGAUGAACACACUGGUCAUCUCUCUGUGGCCUUUCGUUUCAUGUGAGGACAUCUUCCUGGAACUAUCAUCAUGCUCCAAACUCAGACAGGCUUCUCAGGCCCACUGUUGUGACCCCAGAGCUUCCUUGAACCCCCUCUUGGGAAUCUUCUUUCCUUGUAUCUUGUGUUGGAUCCUCUGUUUCUUGGAGCUUGUAUCUUCUUUCUUGGCCAGUUCUUCCUUUUGUUGGAGCAUAUCCUCCAGUGGCUUUGGGAGAAAGGGUUCAUGGCAGGUAAAUAUUUAGAGACCUUGCAAUAAUGUCUCUGCUCUCCCGUUGCACCUGAUGGCUUAUUCAGGCAUAGAACUAUACUUUGAAAAUAUAUUUUUUGUGUGUGCGUGUUAGAGUCUUCCCUGAAAUGUCUGGUGAUUGCUGCACUCAAGUAAUGUGUACAUGGGUGAAGCUUGUCAACUAGGAGUCUCACUGUGGGGUGAUUCUGCAGACACUUGAAUGUUUCACUAAGGCAUCUUUUUUUUUUUUUUUUUUUAAACAUUCCGGAAUCCUAUUCCAUUCAUACAUGAUAGCUAAGGUUUGAUGAUACAGAAAAACUUUUUUUUUUUUUUUUAGAGAGAGAGAGAGGAUUUUUUUAAUAUUUAUUUUUUAGUUUUCGGUGGACACAGCAUCUUUAUUUUUUAUUUUUAUGUGGUGCUGAGGAUCGAACCCAGCGCCUCGCGCAUGCCAGGCGAGCAUGCUACCGCUUGAGCCACAUCCCCAGCCCCUCACUAAGGCAUCUUGCUAGACCAUUCUCUGCAGUCUUUCUGGCCAGUUUCCCCAGCAGUGAAUCCUCUAAUCUUCUGCCUGUGGUGUUAAAGCCCCAUUGCCAACAUUAUGGGAGCAGAGAAGGGGGAAGGGGACUGUGGAAUCUCACAAUUCAGAGCACAUACUUUUUAAAAAAAAUUAUUUUAAUCUGUUAUGUAUGACAGCAGAACACAUUACAAUUCAUAUUACAAAUAUAGAGCACAAUUUUUCAUAUCUCUGGUGGUACACAAAGUAGAGUCACGCCACUCGUGUUCAGAGCACAGACUUUUAGUUCUCUGUUUCCAGAGUGUAUGGCAAGCAAGUUCUCAGCUGUGCCCAGUGUCCUCCAGUCCAGUCCCUCUAUGAUUCAACCUUUCCUCAUAGGUGCACACAGGGAUGAGAAGAAACAACGGGAGUCAGAGUGUUUCUGGCACAAAUGUUCAACACGUUUAUUUUCAGCACAUCUGUACCCAAGUUCUACAGAGGGCACCAGCAUCUGUUUUUUCUAAGGUUUUGUGGUAUAGCUGGUUUGCCUCUUUGGGUUCCCCUUUUGGGAGUUUAGAUUUCAGUUUUAUAUUCUGUGUUAAAUUCAUCACUUUUCAUUCACCAGCUUUUUUAUUUCCUUCUGUCGUCUCUGUUCCUGUUCUCUCUUUGUCUACAGUGGUGUGCUGGUAAACAGUCCACAAAUGACUCUUGGAUAAAGUGAGGUACCUGAUUUGCAGCAGUCUGACUGCCGAGGUAUAAAUACUUCUACUGUGACCAAUUUGAAGGCACGGAAAGAACAUCUCUGGAUAUGCAGUUGGAAAGAAAUGCAAAGUAGCACCUCAGUAUGUGAGAUUUCUACUAACCCGGGACAACUGAUGUGAGCAAUGCUGGUUAGUAACCUCUAGAGAAAACAUAGUUAUAAAAGUAUUAGAAAAUUGUAAGUUUUGAGAAUUUAUUAGCUUUGCUUUUAAUGUAUUUUAAAAAUUGUAAGCAUAUAUCAUUUUAGUUUUUUUGAUUUGUUGUGUACUGGGGAUUGAACUCGGGGUCACUCGACCACUGAGCCACAUCCCCAGCCCUAUUUUGUAUUUUAUUUAGAGACAGGGUCUCACUGAGUUGCUUAGCACCUUGCUUUUGCUGAGGCUGGCUUUGAACUCAAGAUCUUUCUGUCUCAGCCUCCUGAGAAGCUGGGAUUAUAGGUGGGCGCCACUGAGCCUGGCCUUGUUUAGUUUUUAAAAUGACUGUUUCACAUCCAGCUAGAAAAAUUCCUAAAAAAAUCUUACAAUCGGCUGGCACAAGUCAAUAUUGGCUGGGCCUAACCUACAUUGGGUUUAUGCCUUUAUAAUGAUUUUAUUGUCUUUUUAGUGUAUUAUUAAUAAACUUUUUUUUUCAAUCAACUGCCGUACAGCAUGCAAUUACUUGGCCUCCUAUUGUUAACAGAAUAGUAAUCCAGCCAAAGUUCACUUGGUCUAAUUGCAGUUCUCAAACCAUGACGAGGAACGGUGUCAAUGAUUGGGCAUGAGGUCUCACAGGUGAAGGCAGUGACUGCACCAACUCCCAAUGUGAUCUCAGUUUUGAAAAAGAACAUUUACUGUGUCUGUGUUUCUUAGCAACUCUCUGAAGUGGCGCCCAGCAGCUCCUCACUCUAAACCUGACAACCAGGAAGAGUUUAACAAAGCCAAACACCUGCAUAGAGCCUUUUAUUAGAGGAGCCCACAGCAGUUCACCAACGGUGCCUCAUUUAGUCUCGCUGUUCCUCCCAGUGGGAGGAGGAGAGGAAUCUCAUCAGCCCCAUUUUACAGAUGGUCAAGAAGAGGCCUGACAGCAGAUCAACACCAGCUCAGGCAAGAUCAACAGAGUCUUCUUGUUGCCUGAAAAUCUAGCAUGCUCUCUCUCCAUAGCAACAGAAUCUUGUGCACUAAGUUAUGUUUCCUGAGUCUAGGCAGGUGGACGAUUCAGUUUUACUAUCUGAAAUAUCAAGGAGUUCUUUCUUUGUUGGUAACAGGAUUGAACCCAUGGUUGCUUAACCACUGAGCUAAGUCCCCAGCCCUUUUUACUUUUAAUUUUGAGAGAGUCUUGAUAAGUUGCUGAGGACCUCCCUAAGUUGCUGAGGCUGGCUUUGAAAUUGUGAUCCUCCUGCCUCAGCCUCCAGAGCUGCUAGGAUUACUGGUGUGCGCUACCACGCCUGGCUUCAAGUAGUUCUUUUAAAUCCUAAAUUGGAUGAUUCUGGUUCUGACCAUUGUGAACCCUCCCACACCUUCUGUUGUGUGUGAUUUGUAGUAUUUUAUGGUAUGUUACCC